UUUUUUUUAAGUUCUUUUCUGCUCUGUGCAUUAUUUCCACUUCCUUGGGGGUCAUUUUAUUUGUCACUGUCUUUCAGUUGGGUGGCUUUCCUCAAACGCAUGGUGUCCACGGACGUUUGGGCUGAUGAACUCAAGAACUUGCGGACUAAUGAUGCGUGCCUCGGGUUGACUGGGGAGUAAAGUCAGUCAGUCCAUGGCAGGGGGCAUCCUCUUCCCACUCCCACCCGAGAGCAGAACAUGAAGGUCUUUCUUCUGGGGGCCUUAGAUUGCUCCAGAAGCCCCGCGACUUCCCCCUGGAGAGCAGACCCUGACCUCGUGGUGCUUUGUGCCCAGGGUCGGGGAGACACUGUCCAGUGUAGAUUUUCAAUGAACAUUUUGCUGCUUCUGCCAAGACUGCCUGCCUCCUUUCUUGGCAGGUGUCUUCCUCGCAGCACACUCCGUCCUGAGGCUUUCUCUGCCCUGCUGCAUCAGAUACCGCUCCUCCAUCAGCUUUCUAUUGCCUUGAAAUUUGUUAUAAUAUCUUGUCUGCUGAGGUUGCCUCACCCAUUGUCUUUAUGUUAGAUUCCUUUGCAUUCCUUAAUAGUCAUUUUAGGAGUCUCUCAAGAAAAAGGGGAAUAAGCCACGCAGUGAAUUUAUCAUCCCCAGGGACAUGUCGGCCCAAGCCCUUCCUUCAUCCUGCUGAUUACAACGCUGGCCCAGUUGCGAGGCCCUCCACGUGUGUCUCCUGUGCUCGCUCUCUCCUCCCUGGGCCCAGGCACCUCUUCCUCUCCUUUCAAGGCUCUUUCCUCAGGAAAGGACCAUAGACUCCUUUACUCUGAGGGUGCCUGUCAGGUGAGAAUUUAUUGUUCAGACCUAACCAAUGAACAGUGAAUGGGGGAUCCAGUUCUAAGGCUUAGUUUAGGGAUGCUCUGUCUCAGGCAUCAGUGCUGUUCUUCCGUGAUCGCUGAAAUGACCCCGCGUUACUCACUGGUGACAGUAGCACAGAUGUGACUCUCCCAGAGGCUGAGACUGACCAGCUGUGGCUGGAGAGCGGCUGCGUGACUGCAUGACACCCCUUGCCCCCAGGCCUGGCUGCUGGGCCUGUGAUGGCCAAGGGCUGCUGUCGUCCCUGGGGAUGAGAAAUUCACGGCAUGUCUCAUCCCCCUUUCUCUGGGGACUAUAGAGCCAGGUUGCCCUGGAAGUGGCUCUGCUCCCCAGGCCUCCAUGGGCCACUGGUCUCCCUGAGUCCUGGGGAGCUCCACCAAGAGGGUCCCCUGCAGAAGGAGCUGAGCAACCAGCCUGGCUUGCUCUGCACGGAGGGGCUCCCCAGAUGUCAGAUUUUCAGUGCAAAGACUGGAACAUCCUGGGCAAACUGGGACACACUGGUCACCAUACCUGCAGAGAACUCCCCGUCCCAACUCAGGCUGGUUUCCAUAGAGGGAGUUUUAGGGCCUCACCGACUUCUCUAGGCUGAUUGCCCGAGGGCCCAACGAGGCCCCUCUCGCCCGCUUCUCUUCCUCAUCACCGAGCUGUAAAGGAAGUCCAGCUCUCCUAAGGCGGCCUCUAUCACCGGGCCCUGCAGCUCUGAUUGUGCCCCUUGAGAUGGAAGCUGGGCACAUCCAGAGGCAGCUACAUUCCUCGAAAUGCUUUCCUGACACUUCCCCUCAGUGGCCUCAGCAGUGAUGCCAGGAACCCUACAGAACAAGUCGGGUUCCUCUUCCUCGUCUCAGUGGCAUGAUAAAAUAAGGACGAUAAAUAACAUGUACAGACCACUGACUGUGUGUCCGGGCUCAUGCUAAGCUCUUACUAUGCACCAUCUCACUUCAUUCUCAGAACGACCUUAGAGGCAGGUGUUUGCUAUUCCUGGUUUACGAAUGAGGAAACUGAAGCUCCCAGAAGCCACUUGCUCAGAGUCACCCAGCUAGUAGUAAUCGGAGAAGCUGAACUCAAACCAGGGGUACCUGAUGCCAAAGUCUAAGAAUUUGAAAUGGUCUUCAAAUGCCGAGUUUCAGUCCCACCUUUUCCAGGAAGUCUUCCCUGACCAUGUUUGUGUCCUGCUCCAGACUGUGACAGAAAACCGAACUCACCGUGGCUUAAGCCUUUAGAACAUCUUUUGUUGCUUAAGUCCAGAGACUGUGACGGCUCACGGGUAACACGACCAUAACCCUUUCCUUCUUAACGCAUCUCGUCCUCAGGGUGUGGCUGUGAUGGGCUACGUUUUCCAAAGGUGGAUGCAGCAGUGCCUCCCGGGCCACCUGGCUCUUCUGCAUUGGGAAUUGCCGUCCCCUUGUCAGGAGGUGGAGUCUAAUUCUCUUCUUCUGGAAUCUGGGUGGCCUUAGUCACUAGCUUAACCAAUAGAAAGCGGUGGAAAUGGAACCUCGAAGUUUCAAGUUCAGGUGGUAAGGCAGCAUCUGUCCGGGCCUCUUAAAAUGUGUCACGCUUGGAACUCUUGCCCUCGGAACCCAGCAGCCAUGCUGGGGGACACCCAAGCCACUUGAAGAGGCCAUGUGCAGGUGUCCUGGUCAAGAGCCCUGGCUGAGCUCUCACUGGACACCCCGCAUCACCCCCCAGCUGUGUGAGUGAGCUGCCAAGGACAUCUGGCCCAGCUGAGCCUCUGCAUGACUCCCAGUCUCCCUCAGGUUGCAACCACAUAAGGAACCUCAAGGGAGGACCGUCUGGGUGAGGCCAGUCAACCUGCCGAAUGGUGAAAGAUAAUAACAAACUUGUUUUAAGAUGCUGAAUUUUGUGGUGAUUUGCUACAUAGCCAAAGUUGAUUGGAACAGUUGGCUUUCUCUCCUAGCAUGUUGCCUCAAGUUACAAGGUGGCUGCCUCAGCGCCAAGCAUCAUUACAAAUAGCAGAAGUGAGAGACUGAAUAUGGAGCAAAGGCUUUCUCCUUGGGUAUAAGGGGAGGGAAUAUCUUACCUAGACAGCCCCAGCAGAAUCCCUCACAUUUUCACUGGUCAGAACUGGCUCAGACAGCCUCUGCUCACCCCGACACACACUGGGUACCGCCUCUUUAGUGGGAGGUAGGCAAAGGAAUAGGAGGCUGGAAAUGACCAUUGUGCGGGCAACCAACAGUAUCCACGCUACUGUUGAUGUGGUUUUUCUAGGAGAACGAAGACUUAGUGGGGAAAAUAACCCCAUGAUUGAAAAGGAGCCCUCACUGCUCCUUCCAGAAGUGAAGCUGCUUCCGUGGGAACAAGUUUAUUGAAAGCUCCCUCCUGAUGGGCCGGAGUCCUGCUCUAGGGGCAGAAUUUGCCUCCAUCGCUUGCUAGUGGUACAGUAUUGGUGGUUAGUUCCUUGUUCUCUGCCUCCAUUUCCUCACCUGGACGAGGAGAGGAUUCCUCCCAACUCCUCCACGCUCCCGGAAGCCAGGGCGGAAGGGAAGGGCUGGACACUUACCGUGGGGGGAGGCCACGCGCUGCCCAAGUCAAGCCCGGCAGAGCCCGCCUCCAGCCACAGAUGUCGGGAUUUGCCAAACAAACCCUAAUCGCUUAAUGAGAACUGAAAAUGGUGCCUGGUUCCUCCACUUAAUUGGCCCUUUGAAAACAACACACAGGAGAUUUCUGGUAAUCACCAUAAUCGCCUCAUAAAACCCAAGAAUUUGAGGACUGACACGCCUCAUUUCUGGGAGGAAUUAGAGGCCAAAAUCAAGGCAAGGAAUUCCUGGCCUGGCUUGGCCUUGGCUCCCGGGAAUCCGGGACUGGAAUCCGGGACUCGGCCCACGGAGCGCCUGCCACCCCAGACACCCUCCUGGCCAAACCAAAGAGCACUGCACAUGCUCUGGUGCAGUGGUCCCUUGCAAGCCUACACCCUGGGCCUCCUUGUCACUGGUACGGCCUGAGGAAGGUAGACCAAAUGCUAGAGGGCCUGCGUGCCUGCGGGUCAGAGGCAGGGCCCCAAGGAGGGGAGAGGACUCUUGCUGCACCCACUUGCAAUAUCUGGGCAAAAGGAGCGGGGGAGCACGGCUGUCCCCAGCCCAUGGAAAGCCACCGCUCUUAGGUUCUCCCGUGGCCACCCGUCCCUCUUGAACGGCACAUCUCCCAUCACAAGGUGUCUGACCUCUCAGGACAUUGACUAAGAUACCUUGAUAGCAAGAAGGUUCAUACUCAGCUCAGCAGAAAUCGCUUCCCUUUCACAGCCUCAUAACCGGACUCAGAAUCACUUGGAGGUCAAGGUUAGAGCAAUCCUCCCCAAUGGCCUCCCCUGCUCUCCCCUGGAUGGCAAUUCCUUUCUUCCUUCCCCCUCACUCUCUUCUACUCAUUCAUCCAAAAAUAUCUACUAAAGGAGUUCCUGUUGUGGCUCAGUAGGCUAAGAACCUGACUAGUGUCUAUGAGGACGUGGGUUCAAACCCUGGCCUUGCUCAGUGAGUUAAGGAUCUGUCAUACUUGCAGAUGUGGCUCAGAUCUGGCAUUUCUGUGGCUGUGGGGUAGGCCUCAGCUGCAGCUCCAAUUCAAACCCUAGCCUGGGAACUUCCAUAUGCCACAGAUGUGGCUCUAAAAAGAAAAAAAAGUAAUAAAUUUUAAAAAUUAAAAGAACUAAAAUAUCUACUAAAUCCCCAAAUCUCUAAUGUGCAUCAGUAAUUACUAGUUCUCAGAGUUCCCCAGUGGCUCAGUGGGUUAAGGAUCCAGUACUGUCACUGCUGUGGCUCUGGUUACUGCUGUGGUGCAGGUUCAGUCCUUGGCCCAGGAGAUUCUGCAUGUCUUGGGCACAGCCAAAAGAAAAAAGAAGAAAGAAACUAAUGGUGUUCCCCUCAUGGCUCAGCAGGCUAAGGACGCAAUGUCUCUGUGAGGAUGUGGGUUCCAUCCCUGGCCUUGCUCAGUGGUUGAGGAUCCGGCAUUGCCGUGUGGUGCUGUGUAGGUUGCAGACGCGGCUUGGAUGCGGUGUUUUGGUGGCUGUGACAUAGGCUGGCAGCUGCAGCUCUGAUUAGACUCCUGGCCUGGGAACGUCCAUAUGCCACGGGUGCAGCUGUAAAAAGAACAAAGAAACUAGCAAUGCUUACCAUAGUCGCCAGAGCAGUCCUUUAAAAACCUAAUCAGAUCCCUCUGCAAAUUGGAGGGCAGGCAAAGCCCUGGCAGCAUCCUGCAGGGUUCUCAUGCCCCGCCCUUUGCCUCCUCAGCUCCAGCCUCGCUGGCCUCCCCGCUCUUUCUGGAAAACACCAGGGACCCUUCCACCUCAGCACUUUGGCACUUGCUGUUCCCGCUGCCUAGAAGGCCCUUCCCUCACACAUCCAAAGGCCUCCCUCCCUCCUUCCAGGCCCUUCCGGACUUCUCUACAUAAAAUUGCACCCCCACGCCCUCAUUAUCCUCCCAAUUUUAUUUCUGUCUAUCGUGCUCAUUGCCUUCUGAGACCCAAUCCACUCUAAGAUUUUCUGUCUGUCUUAGCAGGUAAGCUCCAACAGGCAGGGAUUUUUGUCUUUUUUUUUUUUUUCCACCAUUGUAUUCAAACACCUGUCACAGCUGCUGUCACUUGGCAGGCGCUCAAUAAAUAUUUGCUGAGUGAAUAAACAAUGGGGAGAGAACGGUGAAAAAGACAAAGCCCCUGCCUGCGUGGGACCUCAGGUCUGGUGGCAGAGACAGGCGUCAGGCCGACUGAGUGGCUCUACGGCAGUAAAUGCUGGUGAAAUGUGGCAGGCAGAACAAAGGUGAGGGUUUGGGGCGUGAAGCUUUGGGAGGAAAAGGUGCUGGAGAAGCUCGGGGGGUGCCACCUCCGGACCCUCUAAAGAAAUGGGACUCCAUGACCAGAGGGUGCCCGUCCGCACACUGGGUUCAAGUCCGCGCUCUGCCCCUUCCCAUCCGCUCACCCUGGGGUGAGCCGCCUCGGGCCGGGGGCACCAGGCUCCCCGCCUGUGAGAUGGAGAAGGGAUCACGAGGCAUGCCAGGAGGAAGGGACGAAGUACUUGGCAGAGCUGGAGCCUGUAGGGCUCGGUGAGCACCCGCUGGUUUCCAUCCCCUGUCUUUGUCCAACUAUUUAUGUAUUAUGUAUUUGCCAUGCCCGUGACAUAUGGAAGUUCCUGGGCCAGGGAUUGAACCCGCACCACAGCAGUGACAGUGCCAGAUCCUUAACCCGCGGGGCCACCAGGGAACUCCUGUCCAACGUUCAAUAUCUAAUUUCUCCUCCAGCAGCUGCUCCACUCUCUCUCCUGACCCCUGAGGGGCCUUGGGAGCAGCAAGAGGAAGGAAAGCACUGAAUCCGCCUGAGCGUCGAGAGCAGGUUAACAGAGGUGACCAGGAUCUUUGGGGGCACCGUGUGACAGAGGGUUAGGCUGGCUUCUGCAGAGCCCCAGCCCCCCUUGGGCUCCAGGGCUGGUUCUUUGGCGAUUGAUUCCAUGUCCCAUCAGCCCCCAGGCUGGUACCUUCUGGCGCAUCAUAGGACCAUGUGACUAGAAUGAAGCUUGGGAACAAGUUGCUUGACGAAGCUAGUGACACAGCUAGUGCUGCCAACUGCCUGGCUCUGGGGGAACUCUCCUCCACCUGCAACCUAGAGACCGCUCCCAGCACGUGCCGGUGCACAUGCACACCCACAUGUGCACACACAAACAUGUGCACACACACACACACGUGCACACACACAUGCGUAUCCAUACACGGUUCCCAGUGCUGCAGCCCCCAUAGGAGGACCAAAUCCCUGCUCCCUCAAAUCUUACUCUCUCCCCUGACUGGAAGUGGAAGAGGGAGGUUGAUCACGAGGCAGCAAACACACCGCUUCUUCCCACGGUCAGUGUGGACUGUGGAUACACUUAGGUGUGUAGCGGACUUUCCCAGACUGUGGGCUGGCUCCAGUGAUGGGCAACGGAAGAGCCAUGAAUCAGAUCUGAGUCCAGACUCAGGGCUCACAUUCUAGUGGGGGCAACAGACACUUGCACAAUUAAUUAUAAACUACAUGGUAGAGCAUCUGCGUGGAAACCCGCAGAAAGAAAGCCCGGCUUUCACUUUGGAGGCUGGGGGUGACAGGAAAGGCUCUGGGUAAGGUGGUCUUUUUUUUUUUUUUUUUUUUUUUAAGGCGGCACCCAAAGCAUGUGGAGGUUCCCAGGCUAGG
RNAcentral lists this long non-coding RNA (7018 nucleotides) under Sus scrofa (pig). RNAcentral describes it as "lncRNA (ENSSSCG00000053836.1)". The record is from RNAcentral. Lineage: Eukaryota; Metazoa; Chordata; Mammalia; Artiodactyla; Suidae.